This 253-nucleotide ribosomal RNA is filed under the name uncultured bacterium. Its description in RNAcentral is "partial 16S ribosomal RNA". It matches the Rfam family "Bacterial small subunit ribosomal RNA", at positions 524 to 776 of the family's 1533-position model. The record is from RNAcentral.
GACGGAGGGUGCAAACGUUGUUCGGAUUCACUGGGCAUAAAGCGCACGUAGGCGGCUCGUUUAGUCAGUUGUGAAAUCCCCCGGCUCAACCGGGGAAUGGCAUCUGAUACUGGCGGGCUCGAGGUCGGUAGGGGUGAGUGGAACUCCAGGUGGAGCGGUGAAAUGCGUAGAUAUCUGGAGGAACACCGGUGGCGAAAGCGGCUCACUAGGCCGACUCUGACGCUAAGGUGCGAAAGCUAGGGUAGCAAACGGG